Molecule: RNA transcript, 1866 nt
Organism: Ipomoea nil (Japanese morning glory)
Lineage: Eukaryota; Viridiplantae; Streptophyta; Magnoliopsida; Solanales; Convolvulaceae
Gene name: origin of replication complex subunit 5-like
Exons: 5
Source: RefSeq, a predicted model, not a curated record
UGGCGGGAAAUCCCUUUUAUACUCUCUCAUUUCCAACCUAGUCUGCGCCCUGUGGACUGCGAUUGUCGUUCUAGGAUUUGGAAUACCAGUUGAGCAGUUCAUUUGAAGGAGUUCUCACUUCUCACGAUCUCUCCAACUCUCAAAGAAGGUCUUCUCACUUCUCCGACGAUUUCCGGUGACUUCUCCUAGCAGGAAUGGGUGAAGAGGAAAAUCCACAGAUUACUAGAAGAGCCACUAGAUUAUCAUCGUCUUCAUCCUCUGGCACGCCAGAUCCAAAAACUGUUGAGUCGGAGUCCAAACCUCUGACGAUAAAUGAUCUUGCCUUUGGUAAUGAAUCGAUUAAUUUGGAUGAGUUGAUGUCCAGUUUACCUGGCAGGCGAGCACAAAUUCACAAAUUAUUACGCAUAAUAGGCCCCUUGAAUUCUCCAAUUUCUCCGAUUUUCAUGUAUGGAGGUGCUUCAGUUGGCAAAACAAGUACAAUUCUUCAGAUAUUUAAGUAUCUAAAGAGGCCAUUUGUGUAUUGUAGCUGCAUCACCUGUUAUAGUCCUAGGGUUUUGUUUGAGUCUGUCUUGAAUCAGUUAUUCCUACAUAGAAGGAGGGAAAGCAAUGGUUAUUCUAGUGCAAAACGGUGUGAUAAGCCCUCAGAUUUUGUGAAUCUUUUACGGGAAGCUCUAGUUAAGGUUGUUGAGGAUCUGAAGAUGAAUGUGGAGAAAUCAGGAUCUAAGAAGUCAGCUCAAAGGACUAGUGGGAGGAUGGUUUACUUGAUAUUUGAUAAUUUAGAGCGUGUUCGAGAAUGGAAUAAGUCUGAUAUAUUGCCUUUCCUAUUUAAGCUUUAUGAUGUUCUGAAGAUGCCGGAGGUGGGUUUGAUCUUUGUUAGUGCUACCUCUCCUGAUACAUAUUACUCUGACACGGGCUUCAUAGAGCCUGUUCAUGUUUACUUUCCCGAUUACACAGAAGAUGAUCUUCACCAAAUCUUUACAAGGAGCCAAGGAAACUCAAAACUGUAUUCAUCUUUUCUUGAAGCGGUGUUGAGACCUUUCUGUCGAGUUACAAGACAAGUUGAUGAGUUAUCUACUGCCUUUUCAUCAUUAUUCAAGAUAUACUGUGAAGGACUUGAUGAUUUGGGGGCUGUUCCUGAUGAACAUAUGAAGAAUAGAUUAUACUGUCAUCUUAAGCCACAUAUUGGGCCAGCAAUGAAUGAGGUAUUCAAAGUCUUGUCCAGGCCCUCCCCCGAAGUGGCCACCAACAAGAUCAAGCAUAAAGUUGUUCCAAUGAAAGAUGGAUUUGGUGAAUCUUCUAAUGAGAUUGACUUUCACAUGUCCGAGUGUGCUAAGUAUCUUCUUAUUUCUGCAUUUAUUGCUUCAAGAAACCCAGCUACUCUUGAUGCCUCACUGUUUGAUUCAACUGGAGGCUAUAGCAGUCGGAAAAGGAAGAGAAAAUUCUUUUUGCUGAUAUUGUGUUCAGGAGCUCUCAGAAAUCAAUGGAGCAGAAAGAAAUUGCAGAGCAAGAAUCAGUGAUGAAAGGACCAGGAACUUUCCCGUUGGAAAGGUUAUUAGCUAUAUUUCAGUGUAUAACAUCGGUUGCAGAAUAUUCAACCGAUGACGAAGCAGAAACAGGAGGAAAUAAUAAUGGUUUAAUGUGUGAUGUUCUCUUACAACUAUCAAGUCUGUGCAAUGCUAAUUUUAUCAGUAAAGGAGGAAGUUGCCCUUUGGAAGGUUCAUUACGGUAUCGCUCCAUGGUGUCUGAAGAUUUAGCUCUCAAGGUUGCUCGGAACUUAAAAUUCCCUCUGUCAAAGUAUUUAUACAGAUAACACCUGCCUCUGCAAAUCAAACAUUCCACAGUUCGCGCUAACCUAUUACUCUCUUC